GGGUGUGACGCUUAGAGGGGCGGUUCGUUUUGCAAAGACGUUUGAGGAGUUAUCCCAUGCCCU
This 63-nucleotide transfer RNA is filed under the name Metagonimus yokogawai. RNAcentral's name for it is "tRNA-Cys". The record is from RNAcentral. Lineage: Eukaryota; Metazoa; Platyhelminthes; Trematoda; Opisthorchiida; Heterophyidae.